This is a non-coding RNA of Acanthosepion pharaonis, 95 nucleotides long. Lineage: Eukaryota; Metazoa; Mollusca; Cephalopoda; Sepiida; Sepiidae. The record is from the annotation of a GenBank genome assembly.
ACGUUGAAACACCAGCUCCCGUGCAAUCUCCCAAGUUAAGCAACAUCAAGCCUGGUCAGUACGGGUGACCGCUUGGGAAUACCAAGUGCUGUAAG